UCCGUGGUGAUCCAGUGGUUAGGACUCUGCACUUCCAAUGCAGGGGAUGUAGGUUCGAUCCCUGGUCAGGGAA
This 73-nucleotide transfer RNA is filed under the name Bos taurus (domestic cattle). It matches the Rfam family "tRNA". Rfam says of the family: Transfer RNA (tRNA) molecules are approximately 80 nucleotides in length. Their secondary structure includes four short double-helical elements and three loops (D, anti-codon, and T loops). The record is from Rfam by way of RNAcentral. RNAcentral also lists the same sequence under 5 other names. Lineage: Eukaryota; Metazoa; Chordata; Mammalia; Artiodactyla; Bovidae.